RNAcentral lists this long non-coding RNA (433 nucleotides) under Equus asinus (donkey). RNAcentral's name for it is "lncRNA (ENSEASG00005032525.1)". Lineage: Eukaryota; Metazoa; Chordata; Mammalia; Perissodactyla; Equidae. The record is from RNAcentral.
GUUGGGAUGAUGGAAGCAGAGGUUGGAGUAAUGUGCUUUGAAGAUGGAAAAAGAGAGCAUGAACUAAGAAAUAUAGGUGACUCUAGAAGCUAAGAAAGAGGAGAAAUUGGGACUGCCAGUGACGCAUGGAAAGGAAAGAUGAUGUCUUCCUCUUACCUGAAGUAAACGUGGUUGGAGUUGUAAUGGGAUUCAUACUGAUAACAGAGAAGAGGGUUGGCUAUCGAUUCCAGGAUUCGAGCUACACAUCUGAACACACUCCUCUUGGUGCCAGAGACUCCUGCAACAGCAAUGUGUUCCUCAUUCUCUCACGGAACUCCUUACACCAUUUAGGCAUCAUUAAUCGCACUGCUCCAUCAGCUUACAUCACAUCAAGGAGCUGGUCAGCUGGAACUUUGCGUCCAAGAGUUGACAUCAGUUUCUAAACUAGCCCCAG